This is a non-coding RNA of Bos taurus (domestic cattle), 72 nucleotides long. The record is from Rfam. Lineage: Eukaryota; Metazoa; Chordata; Mammalia; Artiodactyla; Bovidae.
UCCCUGGUGGCUCAGACAGUACAGUGUCUGCCUACAAUGCAGGAGACCCAGGUUCAAUCCCUGGGUUGGGAA